This 2372-nucleotide long non-coding RNA is filed under the name Vigna radiata. RNAcentral describes it as "long non-coding RNA (VRAD_LNC003255)". The record is from RNAcentral. Lineage: Eukaryota; Viridiplantae; Streptophyta; Magnoliopsida; Fabales; Fabaceae.
CUGCAAAAAACACAUUUUCAAUCUCUAUUUUCUCUCUUUGAUUUCCUUUGUUCUGUCUUAUUCUCUAAUUCUCGCAAGCCUGGAAAUAGGGGAGCUUUCUUCUCCUUCUUCGUUUGUUUUUCCCUCUCGUUCGUGCAAGGAAGAUGGUCUGGUGGUGGCGAGAAUCGACGGCGCUACGAAGGCGCGACUCAAGCUUGUUCUCGCCUUCGAUGGCGGUUCGCAGUGGACUUCCAGGGUCCUUCAUUGUGCGGAUGGACCUUCUCCUUUUCCCUUUCUUGUUCUGGCUCGCGAUGUAAGACAAGAGGGCGUUCUCGUGGUGGUCGAGAUCGCGGAAGCUCCCUCUUUUUGAAGCAACCAACGACGGUAAUCUGUUAUUGCAUUGGGGUUUCUGAUCUUUCUUCUGACUUGGGAAUUCUCUUUUAGGAGCUCUGUUCUUGCUUUCUCAAAUUGUGUUUUGGGGUCAAAGUUCUGCUUUGGAAAAAUCUUGUGAUCUUGAUUCCGUAAUGUUUCAGUUGGGGUUGAUGAUCGAGAAUUUGGGGGUUAUGGCUUUCAGAUUCUGUUUUGGAAUUGGGGUCCCUGUUUUGAGUUUAUGACCUCAGGGUUUGAGUGUAGGGUGUUUGAGUUAAAUUUCUGGGUUUUCUUUUCUUCGCAAUUACGGACUGUUGGUGAUGGUUGUGCGAAAUAGGGCAGGUCUGGAGGACUCAUAAUCAUAAUCUAUUGUUUUAAUUAAUGGUGUGAGAAAGAUGGGGACUACGCCUGAGGCCAACGCGAGUAAUGUAGUGGACGAAGAAACACUCGGCGACUACAUGCUCUCUAACGUGGCUUCCAACUCCGACCUCGCUGACCAGGGUCAGUCAGCAGCAGCGCUCCUCCGCAUUCCAACUCCCUCGAAGGCGGCCACAGUGCCCUCGAGGCUCAUAGUCUGCCUCCCGCGAAUUGUAAGGAAUGAUUGUUUUUUUUUUCUUCUAUAUCUUAAAUUAUGGGAGUAAUGCAUAUACAUAUAUAUUACAGAUAUGAGCACAACUUUUUCGCUGGAAUCCUGUCAUCCAAUUGCAAAUUGUUAAUAUUUGAUGAGUUUGUCCACUUUCACAUUUGUUAAUUUAAUACUCAUUCAUACCAUAACUUUUCUGUUUGUAUAAUAAUGUGUACAUAUAGUUUUUGCAAUGAGUGCGCAGAAAUUGAACUUGAAAUUAUGUUAUGAAAAGUUAAGAGAAAAAAAAAAAAAAAAAACUUGUGCCACAGGGCCUGAACCUUGAUCCAUCAUUGCUAAGGUUUAUUCGACUCUUCACCCCGCUGGGUGUGGAGGAGGGGAGGGAUUGCAGUUGUAUGUUGGGUACAGUCUCUUGAGUGAUUGAAGAAUGGAGUUUGAGCAAUUGGGGAGAAUAGUGAGAUCUUGAGUGGUCUUUGUGGCUUCAGGAGGAGUGUGAUUCUCGCGGUUCUGUGAUUUUGAACAAGUAUAAGGAGUAUAGGAAGUUGGCUAAGUUGUCCUCUGAGAUAAUGCUCACGAGAGGUAGAGAUAUAUUUGGAGGAGAUUCUCUCCCUUAUGCAGCUUGGUGAUUACACUGAAUUCAUGAUUUCAAAGAUCAAAGGGCACUUCUGUUGAUCCUGAGUUGCUUCCCCGUGCAGAGCUUUAGGAGUGGCAAUAUCAGCAAGUUGUGACCCUGAGUUGCUUCUGUUAACUGGAUUUUAUGUGAUUUUGGAGGGAUUUACACGUCAGGAAAGCAAUAAGGAUUGAUGAACACGUGCCUUUACUUCUUUACCACUUACUUCUAUGGUGUAUGAUGUAUUUUAUGUAUUGCACAGUUGCCUGCGGAGGGCAAUAUCCACUUCCAAUAUCAGUUCUGUUGUUGCCGUUUUGAGUGGUGCCAGCAUUUUACUCGGUAAUGAAUAUAAUGAAAUAUAAUAUGGACAGCAAAAAAUAAGAGAGCCUUGGUGCAAAGUUGUUAUUUGGUGGCGUUGGUGUGCAAAAGACAGAAAUUGCAACAUAUGGAUGUUCUGAAGCUAAAACAUGAAAUUGAAGACCAGUGUGCUGAGGUGAGUAUAGUUGGCACAUCAUUAUGAGGUAAUUUUAGGUUCCUAGGUUAUGAAGACCAGUGUUUGUGCAGUUUGUGUCAUUUAAUUUGUACAGGAUUUAGUUUUGAAUUUCUCUAACAUGAUUUAGAGUUUUAUAGACUGUAUAGGAUAAAACCAAUUUCAAGAUUGACAUUUUUUGCAACUUCAAAACCUCAAAACCACACAGAUUGAGGAUGCUUCUGUCCUUAGUUUAUAAUGUAUAUGUAGGUCAUUUUCUUUAUUUUUAUGUAUACACAAGUUUAUGCUACUACGGGAGAAUAAAGAUUAUUACGGUUCACUUUGUAUGAUAAAUAUUAGGA